This is a long non-coding RNA of Mesocricetus auratus (golden hamster), 3898 nucleotides long. RefSeq lists it as uncharacterized. The record is from RefSeq and is a predicted model, not a curated record. The transcript has 7 exons. NCBI's taxonomy places the organism in Eukaryota, Metazoa, Chordata, Mammalia, Rodentia, Cricetidae.
UUCUGUAUAUUCAUAAGGAAGAAAGAGCCUGAUGUUUGUCAUUUAAAUUACAUGAAGAUAUAUUUGUCUUUUGCAAUUUCAAGGCAUUUAAAGAUAGUAUAAGACCAAAACACAUUAAAGAAGGCAAAGAGAUGAUUUGUCAAAUAUUUUCCAGGAUGCAUAAGUAUAUAAAAAUUGUACUGUGGAGAACAUAAGUACAUUUUGUGCUUAAUCGUUUUUCAACUGAAACACAAUUUAAUCUGACCAAAAUUAAUUGAGCACUAACUAUGGGCAAAGUUUGUAACAGGAAAAUUAUGACUAGUUAAACUUGUCCUCAAAUCCCAAACUCACAUUAUAAAUGACACAACACAAGGCAGACUACUAUGUACAAUGCAAAACGAGCCAUACAACUUCCAACGUUGAAAACACCACAACCAGUGUGUUGAAAGAAGGAGAAUUCCUAAAUAGGCUCCUGAAGACAUGAAAUCAGUGUGGCAAUUAUGAAGGCAUAAGAAUGAAGGUUGGAGAUCUGAAGGUCCUCUCACCUUAUAACUCACAUUUGUAAUGCAUGGCCAGUUUUUUUCAUGCUCUACUGUUCUGAGGCUUCUGUUCGGCUAAUGGAAGAUGCUCAGCAAACAUGUAGGCAGGGGUUGCAGGGACCAGGGAGAUGAGGCCUCUGAGUGGAAGCCCAACAGGACAAAGUUGGACUUAAGUCCUCAGGUAGGAUGACUCCAACAUGUGGAGAUACUCAGUAAUAUUGGGCUUCGGGUUUCUACAAUGACUGGUGGUCACUGACAAAUGCUACAUUGACUUUCUUCCUGUUUCAGGCUUCUUAUCUACUGGUAUGCAUUUCCUGGUAUCACUUCUUUAAUGACAUACUUGCACUGAUGUCCAACCUAAAACAAAGCAACAAUCACAAGUCUGUUUACUUAACAACCCGGGCAGUGCACUUAAAGAUGGGAGGGGAUGUAAUGUCUUAAAGGAGAAAUGUUCCCCAAUGAUGCACAUACCUGAACACUUAGUCUCCAAGUGCACUGCUGGAGGAGGUCAUGGAGCUUUUAGGGAAUGGAGCCUUGCUUAAGAAAGCAUGUCAUGCCGGGCAGUGGUGGUGCACGCCUUUAAUGCCAGCACUUGGGAAGCAGAGGCAGGCGGAUCUCUGUGAGUUCGAGGCUGGGCUGGACCGACAGCCUCCAAAACAAUACAGGGAAACCCUGUCUCGUAAAACCAAAAAAAAAAAAAAAAAAAGAAAGAAAAAAGAAAGCAUGUCACUAGGGGCAUGCUGUAUAGAAUCACCCUAUUUCUAGUUUAUCGUCUCUUGAUGUCUUGUGUGAUAAAGAUGUGAUAUCUCAGGUUUCCUGUUUUGGCUGCUUGAGAGUCCAUUAAUGGACUCUCUCCCUGGAGCCAUAAACCAAGAUAAACUCUUUCUCCAAUUGUUGGUUUGGUCAUCAGAUUUUAUCAUAGUAACACACUAUAGAGUCAACGCAAUCACAAGAACUAAUACAGAAGUUGGUGUCAGAGAGUGGGUUGUCACUGUGAAGAAGCUGACCAUAUUGUAUUUGGAGUGACUGUCAAAGACUUUGAAAUUUGAUUGAAUGCUCUAAGCAGAGCUUAGGAUGGUCCAGCAGGAAGCUAAAAGACAGCAGUACAGAGAUUAGAAGCCUGGAUCAUGAGAUUUCAGGGGGCAAGGAUUUUAUUAGCAACUGAGUUACAGUCCAUCAUGUGAUAUUUAGCAAAGAAUCUGUUUUUCUGCCUUUGCUCUGAGAACUUACCUGAGACUAAUUCACAAAGAGUGGACUAAUUUCUCUGGCAAAGGAGAUUUCAAGGCAACAUAAUGUUGAAUCUGUGGAAUGGUUGUUAUUGAUGACCCUCUUGUAGGAGUACAAUGAAAAAAUGCAAAUAGGGAAAAAAGAAGUGCAAACUUUGUGGUUUGGAGAGAAAAAGAACACUAGGAACCUUAAAGUUACAGAAAAGCCAUGUGCUGAAAGAGGUUUAAUUACUAGUGAGAUUAGCACCAUUAAGGAGUGGUCUCCUGUUUUUCCAUAGGAAAGGGAAAAGGUGCCAUUAGGGCAAGAUCUUACCUAGCAAAGAUUCCAACUUAGAAAUGGAGAAAGCCUAAAGGGUUGCUUGCUUUUAGGAAGCAGUUGUUUAAAGAAAAUGCUAUUGGAAAUGAUUCAGAUGGAGGCAUGUAUCUGUGUGUAGUUGGCAGCCAAACUUAGCAGUGUCUUCAGUAUGGUACUGACUUUGGGGCAAUGAAAGCACAACAGAUUGAGAGGGUUACAAGUUUUUCCUCUGCAGUUUCAGAGAGUCACUGAAUCCAGGCCACCUGUGCUAUGAGAGACCCAUGUGUGAAGCUGUGGAAAUGAAGACUGGGUGACAGUGGCAAACACAGAGACAUCUACUGAGGAGAGUUUGAUACAGGGUGUGGAAUCAGCCAGCCAGGGAGACUUUCCUUGCAAGCAGCAAAGCUGGGGUCGGGGUAGAACUCUCUAAGUCCCUUAAAUCUAAAUCUCCAGAUACUGAACAUGAAGCUACAGGAUUUUUUGCUUUUCCUGCUCAAUUUUGGUUUUGUUUUGCUUCAACAUUCCUCACUAUUGCCCAUUUACCCCUUGGGAAUGGGGAUAUGUAAUUUAUACCACUGUGUGUUGGAAGUAAUUUCUUCUUGAUUGUAUAGGGAGGCCACAAUAAAGAGAUUUCUUUGAGUUUCAGCAGGUACUUUGGACACAGAAACACUUCUGAGACUGUAUAAGACGAUGGGGACCUUUAAAGUUGGACUAGAUACAUUUUUCUUUGUGAUAUGGCCAUGAGCCUAUGAGGGCCUGGGAGUGAAAUGUAGCAGUUUGAAUGAGAAAUGUCCCCCACAAGUGCAUGUAUCUAAACACUUGGUCCCCAGCUAGCGGUGCUGUUUGUGUAGGACAUGGAACUUUGUUACAGCAAUGUACGUCAAAGGUGGUAGGCUUUGAGAGUUUAUGGCCUCACAGUGAUUCCGAUUUAUUGUCUCUUGGCUUCCUGUGUGAUGAAGACAUGAUCUCUCAGUUUCCUGCUACCAAGCCUCCCUACCAUCAUGAACUCUCUCCAAGAAGUAGAUCACCUGUGGGAGAGCAUGGAUGCAGAGUCCACAGAGUUACCAUGGAUGCAUUUAUUUUCAUCCAUCCAUUUGAGAUGGAAUGUGGGGCUGUUUUCAGUACGAUGGAGUAUUUUUCAUAAUCUGAGAGAAGGCUCCUCCCAGGAAGAAGCCGGAGGAACUCACUCAAUAUUCUAAAUGAAGCUGUACUGCUUUGGAGGCUUGAGAACCUUGCCUGAGAUGCCAUCAUUCCUUAAACAUGUCUCUCUGACCAUGGAACUGUUGCAUGCAGAUUGCAAGUGUUACAACAGAGACCCAUGUGAUCAUUGAAUAAGCACACUGACACCGUAAGAGGCUAAGUGACUGUUGACACCCUCCUGUUUCUCUUCUAUUGAUGUCUUUGAGAAUAUAUGGCUAUUUGGAGAUCAACCAUCAUUUGUAACACAUUUAAAUUACAGGAGAGUGAAGUUCCCACUUGCAGUGAGGAGUGACAUACCCCCAAAUAGUACGAAGUCCUGGGGGACCUGGAUCCACAGUUGGGAUCAUGUGCGCCAGACUGGUAAUCAUCAGAAGAAUGCUGAACUUAGGAGGAGAAACAGCAGGGUCAUGCUGCAUCAAAAAUACUGGAAAGAGUCUUCCAGAAAACCCUCUGCGACAUUGCCUACAUGAUGGAUGUUCUGCUGACUGUAGAAGGGCCAACGGGUCAUCAUUAGUCUUUACGGUUACCUCAUGGUCAUAAAAUUUCCCCUCAUAUGCAUUUGAACACUGAUUCUCAAUAAAUGUCAAGAACAAAACAAAAAUCCUAUAUUUGUCACAGUCUUUCAGUGUCUCUCAGAGCACCUCAUCUCUUACCUAAGU